CCUACGGUGGGCAGCAGUGGGGAAUAUUGGACAAUGGGCGAAAGCCUGAUCCAGCCAUGCCGCGUGUGUGAAGAAGGCCUUCGGGUUGUAAAGCACUUUCAGUGGGGAAGAAAGCCUUGGGGCUAAUACCCUCGAGGAAGGACAUCACCCCCAGAAGAAGCCCCGGCUAACUCCGUGCCAGCAGCCGCGGUAAUACGGAGGGUGCGAGCGUUAAUCGGAAUUACUGGGCGUAAAGCGCGCGUAGGCGGUCUGAUAAGCCGGUUGUGAAAGCCCCGGGCUCAACCUGGGAACGGCAUCCGGAACUGUCAGGCUAGAGUGCAGGAGAGGAAGGUAGAAUUCCCGGUGUAGCGGUGAAAUGCGUAGAGAUCGGGAGGAAUACCAGUGGCGAAGGCGGCCUUCUGGACUGACACUGACGCUGAGGUGCGAAAGCGUGGGUAGCAAACAGGAUUAGAUACCCCUGUAGUC
This 465-nucleotide ribosomal RNA is filed under the name Vreelandella stevensii. Its description in RNAcentral is "partial 16S ribosomal RNA". It matches the Rfam family "Bacterial small subunit ribosomal RNA", at positions 338 to 795 of the family's 1533-position model. The record is from RNAcentral. Lineage: Bacteria; Pseudomonadati; Pseudomonadota; Gammaproteobacteria; Oceanospirillales; Halomonadaceae.